AUGAAUAAAUAUUAUAAAUCACAGGACUAGAGAAGCAUGUGACCAGGAGGGUGGGAACCUGACCAAGAGGCUCAUUUAAAAGAGGAAUGAUGAACCUGUGGGAUGUAGAACAGGUGCACAGUUCAAGCUCAGAGACUAAUUUCAUACUGUAGUGUGUAACGCUCAAGAAUCAUGAAGAUGCUGCUUGUGACUCUGGCUCUUGCCCUUCUGCUGACCAGUGGUUCUGCCCUUAAAUGUCACAAGUGUACUCCUGAUGGAAAAUGUUCUAUUGAAACCUGUACCAGUGGUCAAGACACCUGUGUUGCCACAAGGGUGUUUACCCCCA
Tachysurus fulvidraco (yellow catfish) is the source of this 325-nucleotide long non-coding RNA. RefSeq lists it as uncharacterized. The record is from RefSeq and is a predicted model, not a curated record. The transcript is spliced from 3 exons. NCBI's taxonomy places the organism in Eukaryota, Metazoa, Chordata, Actinopteri, Siluriformes, Bagridae.